Molecule: ribosomal RNA, 497 nt
Filed under: uncultured bacterium
Lineage: Bacteria
Description: partial 16S ribosomal RNA
Rfam family: Bacterial small subunit ribosomal RNA
Source: RNAcentral
GAUGAACGCUGGCGGCGUGCCUAAUACAUGCAAGUCGAGCGAACAGACGAGGAGCUUGCUCCUCUGACGUUAGCGGCGGACGGGUGAGUAACACGUGGAUAACCUACCUAUAAGACUGGGAUAACUUCGGGAAACCGGAGCUAAUACCGGAUAAUAUAUUGAACCGCAUGGUUCAAUAGUGAAAGACGGUUUUGCUGUCACUUAUAGAUGGAUCCGCGCCGCAUUAGCUAGUUGGUAAGGUAACGGAUUACCAAGGCAACGAUGCGUAGCCGACCUGAGAGGGUGAUCGGCCACACUGGAACUUAGAAACGGUCCAGACUCCUACGGGAGGCAGCAGUAGGGAAUCUUCCGCAAUGGGCGAAAGCCUGACGGAGCAACGCCGCGUGAGUGAUGAAGGUCUUCGGAUCGUAAAACUCUGUUAUUAGGGAAGAACAAAUGUGUAAGUAACUAUGCACGUCUUGACGGUACCUAAUCAGAAAGCCACGGCUAACUACGUG